RNAcentral lists this ribosomal RNA (403 nucleotides) under uncultured bacterium. RNAcentral's name for it is "partial 16S ribosomal RNA". It matches the Rfam family "Bacterial small subunit ribosomal RNA", at positions 30 to 526 of the family's 1533-position model. The record is from RNAcentral.
AUUGAACGCUGGCGGCAGGCCUAACACAUGCAAGUCGAGCGAGCGGCGGACGGGUGAGUAAUGUAUGGGGACUGCCCGAUAGAGGGGGAUAACUACUGGAAACGGUGGCUAAUACAGCAUACUGUAGGAUAACACAUAUGGGAUUAUCUAGUAGGUAAGGUAAUGGCUUACCUAGGCGACGAGCCCUCGCUGGUCUGAGAGGAUGAUCAGCCACAUGGGGACUGAGACACGGCCCAGACUCCUACGGAGGCAGCAGUGGGGAAGAUUGCACAAUGGGCGCAAGCCUGAUGCAGCCAUGCCGCGUGUAUGAAGAAGGCCCUAGGGUUGUAAAGUACUUUCAGUCGGGAGGCGUUACCGACAGAAGAAGCACCGGCUAACUCCGUGCCAGCCGCCGCGGUAAUAC